UCUCAUUGGAAAAAAAGGCUAAAGUUUUCAAAUAAUUAUUUUUUGACAAAUAUAGUUAUUAAUAGUACUAUUUGUGUGAUGUAUGAUUUGGUUGUGUAGUAUACUUGAAUGUGAUAAAGUUUUCCUUUUUUUCAGCAUUGAGGCUCUUGUUAGUCAAGAAAUCUGUAUACCAUUUUGCUGAAAGCUUGGGAACUCGAUCUAAUGUAUGGCGAUCAACGUAGUAUAACCCAAAUUUGAGCUCGUAUCCACUAGUCCACUCGAAAUUAUCCAUCAGGCUCCAAAUGAAAUAACCACGUACAUCAGCGCCCUUCCUGAUUGCUCGAGCUAAUGAUGCAAGAUAUGACUUAUGGAAUUCAACUCGCUUAGUAUCAUGUUGUAGCUCAUCCGCUUGUGCUGUAGUAGGAUUCAGAGAGGCGUAGCCAUUUUCAGUAACAAACAUAGGUUUAUUAUGGUAUCUCUUCUUCAUAUAGUCAACAAUCUCCUCCAUUCCAUUUGGAACCACGAAAAAUCGAGACAUUCCUGUCGGUUCUCCAAUAGAAACGCCAUCUUUCUCUCCUAGAGUAAUGAGAUAGCCAUGGAUAGGGUGGUCUCCACCCGCGAUGCAACUAGAAUUGGAGCAAACGCAGCUAGAAUUAAUGCAAUCUUUCGCAUACAGAGUGCCAUAGUGGUUUAUUCCCAUGAAGUCAAUACUAUCUUUAAUAAGCUUUCGUUCAUCUGAGGUGAACCUCGGCAGUGCAUCUGCAAGAUAUUUACGCAUUUCUGGAGGGUAAUCUCCGUGUACUAAAGGAUCGAAUACCCAAGCAGCGGUAAAUAGCACAGCCCUAUGAGCAGCAUCACGAUCAAAGUCAUUAUUCCUUAACGGUUUAUACAUAAACGAAUGCACAACAAUUCCUAUCAUUCCGCCAUGUUUAGGUUGAAAAUGCUCGCGAUAUAGUUUUGCAGCCUUGGCAUGUGCCAGUAACAUGUUAUGCAUUGCAACAAGAGGUUCGGUAUCAGAAUUUCCAGCUGAACAGUUGCCAAAAGGCGGGGAGCAACGAGCAGGAGGGUAAACUCCCCUCACAUAGGCCAUUUCUGCAAACAUAUUUGGCUCAUUGAUUGUGGUCCAAUACUUCACUCUAUCACCAAAACUCUCGAAACAAAUCUUAGCAAAAUACGAAAAUUCUUCCUGCAUGAUAGGAUUGAGCCAGCCCCCAUGUUUUUCCUCGAGUUCAUGUGGAUGGUCGUGGUGAUUAAG
RNAcentral lists this unclassified non-coding RNA (1234 nucleotides) under Hevea brasiliensis (rubber tree). The record is from RNAcentral. Lineage: Eukaryota; Viridiplantae; Streptophyta; Magnoliopsida; Malpighiales; Euphorbiaceae.